Malus domestica (apple) is the source of this 937-nucleotide non-coding RNA. The record is from RefSeq and is a predicted model, not a curated record. NCBI's taxonomy places the organism in Eukaryota, Viridiplantae, Streptophyta, Magnoliopsida, Rosales, Rosaceae.
GUGCGCCUAUUGUAUCUGGAGGAUCCUCGUUUGCUGUUACUGAGCUCGGUGCUGGAAGGAAAUGCAGCAGAGAGGAGGUAGGAUGCGGAUCCUGACGGCGAGCGACGGGUUCAGGUUGGCUUCGCAUUGGUGGACAGAGACGGUGGUCUGAGGCUGCAGAAGUGAGCUUGACAAGGGGAGUCUCGGUGCUGGAGCUUAAGGUAUGCAAAGCGUUGAGGAGGGGAUGACCAGUGCUGCAGACGGGAAGAAGAAGGCAGUCGGCUGGCAGGAUGCAGCUUUUACUUCGAAUCUUUAAUCUUGAGAAGGCAGAGCUUGACGCCAGGAUCUUCACGAAACUUUUAGAGCCAUGGUAGCAGGACGUGGGUGUACUUGGGCAAGAGACUGCAGCGUGGUUUUGCUGUGUAGUGUCUUUUGAUCACAGUUUUCCCUCGGUGGUGCGCUGCCGUGUGGUGUUGUGCAAGAGACUGCAGUGAGGCUUCGCUGUGUAGUGCCUUUUGGUCACAGUUUUCCCUUAGUGGUGACGUCGCUGUGCACAUUAACCUUGCUGCUUGCCAUGGGCUCUUUGCCGCUGCUGCUUGGAGCUUGUUCCAAUGCAUCACCUUUACCUUAUGGGGUUGUGCAAAAGACUGCAGCAAGUUUAUAUUGUGUAGUGCCCUUUUGGUCACAACUUUCCUCGGUAGGGGACGUUGCCGUGCACAUUGACCUUGCUGCUUGCCAUGGGCUCUUUGCCGCUGCUGCUUGGAGCUUGUUCCAAUGCGUCACCUUUACCUUGUGGGAUUGUGCAAAAGACUGCAGCGAGUUUAUGCUGUGUAGUGCCUUUUGGUCACAACUUUCCUCGGUGGUGACGUUGGCGUAAUGCUCACCUUUGUAAUACGGCUUUGUAACCAAAUCAUUCCUUUAAAGAAAUAAAGUAUUCAUAUUUUGAAUUUGCUUUUUA